Molecule: ribosomal RNA, 496 nt
Filed under: Graphium antiphates (fivebar swordtail)
Lineage: Eukaryota; Metazoa; Arthropoda; Insecta; Lepidoptera; Papilionidae
Description: partial 16S ribosomal RNA
Source: RNAcentral
AAACAUGUNUUUUUGAGUUUAAUUUAAAGUCUAGUCUGCCCCACUGAUUUAAAAUAAUUAAAGGGCUGCAGUAUUUUGACUGUACAAAGGUAGCAUAAUCAUUAGUCUCUUAAUUGGUGACUUGUAUGAAGGAUUUGAUGAAAUAUAAACUGUCUCUUAUUAAUUUAUAAAAUUUAAUUUUUUAGUAAAAAAGCUAAAAUAAUUUUAAAAGACGAGAAGACCCUAUAGAGUUUUAUAAUAAAUUUAAUUAUAUUUUUUAUAUAAAUAUUUUAUUUUUAAUAAAAUUUAUUAUUUUAUUGGGGUGAUAGAAAAAUUUAAUAAACUUUUUUUAAAAAUAAAACAUAAAUAAGUGAAUGUAUGAUCCGUUAUUAACGAUUAUAAGAAUAAAUUACCUUAGGGAUAACAGCGUAAUUUUUUUUUUUAGUUCAAAUAAAAAAAAAAGUUUGCGACCUCGAUGUUGGAUUAAGAUAAAAUUUAAAUGCAAAAGUUUAAAAUU